RNAcentral lists this ribosomal RNA (243 nucleotides) under Vibrio parahaemolyticus. RNAcentral's name for it is "partial 16S ribosomal RNA". It matches the Rfam family "Bacterial small subunit ribosomal RNA", at positions 1300 to 1533 of the family's 1533-position model. Lineage: Bacteria; Pseudomonadati; Pseudomonadota; Gammaproteobacteria; Vibrionales; Vibrionaceae. The record is from RNAcentral.
GGAGUCUGCAACUCGACUCCAUGAAGUCGGAAUCGCUAGUAAUCGUGGAUCAGAAUGCCACGGUGAAUACGUUCCCGGGCCUUGUACACACCGCCCGUCACACCAUGGGAGUGGGCUGCAAAAGAAGUAGGUAGUUUAACCUUCGGGGGGACGCUUACCACUUUGUGGUUCAUGACUGGGGUGAAGUCGUAACAAGGUAGCGCUAGGGGAACCUGGCGCUGGAUCACCUCCUUAAACGAUGAU